UGCAGAAUCCCGUGAACCAUCGAGUCUUUGAACGCAAGUUGCGCCCGAAGCCACUAGGCUGAGGGCACGUCUGCCUGGGUGUCACGC
This 87-nucleotide ribosomal RNA is filed under the name Nothosmyrnium xizangense. RNAcentral describes it as "partial 5.8S ribosomal RNA". It matches the Rfam family "5.8S ribosomal RNA", at positions 73 to 154 of the family's 154-position model. From Rfam's summary of the family: 5.8S ribosomal RNA (5.8S rRNA) is a component of the large subunit of the eukaryotic ribosome. It is transcribed by RNA polymerase I as part of the 45S precursor that also contains 18S and 28S rRNA. Functionally, it is thought that 5.8S rRNA may be involved in ribosome translocation. Lineage: Eukaryota; Viridiplantae; Streptophyta; Magnoliopsida; Apiales; Apiaceae. The record is from RNAcentral. RNAcentral also lists the same sequence under 1 other name.